ACGAGUGGCGGACGGGUGAGUAACACGUGGGUAACCUGCCCUUAAGUGGGGGAUAACAUUUGGAAACAGAUGCUAAUACCGCAUAAAUCCAAGAACCGCAUGGUUCUUGGCUGAAAGAUGGCGUAAGCUAUCGCUUUUGGAUGGACCCGCGGCGUAUUAGCUAGUUGGUGAGGUAACGGCUCACCAAGGCAAUGAUACGUAGCCGAACUGAGAGGUUGAUCGGCCACAUUGGGACUGAGACACGGCCCAAACUCCUACGGGAGGCAGCAGUAGGGAAUCUUCCACAAUGGACGCAAGUCUGAUGGAGCAACGCCGCGUGAGUGAAGAAGGCUUUCGGGUCGUAAAACUCUGUUGUUGGAGAAGAAUGGUCGGCAGAGUAACUGUUGUCGGCGUGACGGUAUCCAACCAGAAAGCCACGGCUAACUACGUGCCAGCAGCCGCGGUAAUACGUAGGUGGCAAGCGUUAUCCGGAUUUAUUGGGCGUAAAGCGAGCGCAGGCGGUUUUUUAAGUCUGAUGUGAAAGCCCUCGGCUUAACCGAGGAAGUGCAUCGGAAACUGGGAAACUUGAGUGCAGAAGAGGACAGUGGAACUCCAUGUGUAGCGGUGAAAUGCGUAGAUAUAUGGAAGAACACCAGUGGCGAAGGCGGCUGUCUGGUCUGUAACUGACGCUGAGGCUCGAAAGCAUGGGUAGCGAACAGGAUUAGAUACCCUGGUAGUCCAUGCCGUAAACGAUGAAUGCUAGGUGUUGGAGGGUUUCCGCCCUUCAGUGCCGCAGCUAACGCAUUAAGCAUUCCGCCUGGGGAGUACGACCGCAAGGUUGAAACUCAAAGGAAUUGACGGGGGCCCGCACAAGCGGUGGAGCAUGUGGUUUAAUUCGAAGCAACGCGAAGAACCUUACCAGGUCUUGACAUCUUUUGAUCACCUGAGAGAUCAGGUUUCCCCUUCGGGGGCAAAAUGACAGGUGGUGCAUGGUUGUCGUCAGCUCGUGUCGUGAGAUGUUGGGUUAAGUCCCGCAACGAGCGCAACCCUUAUGACUAGUUGCCAGCAUUUAGUUGGGCACUCUAGUAAGACUGCCGGUGACAAACCGGAGGAAGGUGGGGAUGACGUCAAAUCAUCAUGCCCCUUAUGACCUGGGCUACACACGUGCUACAAUGGAUGGUACAACGAGUUGCGAGACCGCGAGGUCAAGCUAAUCUCUUAAAGCCAUUCUCAGUUCGGACUGUAGGCUGCAACUCGCCUACACGAAGUCGGAAUCGCUAGUAAUCGCGGAUCAGCACGCCGCGGUGAAUACGUUCCCGGGCCUUGUACACACCGCCCGUCACACCAUGAGAGUUUGUAACACCCGAAGCCGGUGGCGUAACCCUUUUAGGGAGCGAGCCGUCUAAGGUGGGACAAAUGAUUAGGGUGAAGUCGUAACAAGGUAGCCGUAGGAGAACCUGCGGCUGGAUCACCUCCUUUCU
RNAcentral lists this ribosomal RNA (1460 nucleotides) under Lacticaseibacillus rhamnosus. RNAcentral describes it as "Lactobacillus rhamnosus 16S ribosomal RNA". It matches the Rfam family "Bacterial small subunit ribosomal RNA". The record is from RNAcentral. Lineage: Bacteria; Bacillati; Bacillota; Bacilli; Lactobacillales; Lactobacillaceae. RNAcentral also lists the same sequence under 1 other name.